UAAGAGACUAAAAAAAUCAAGCAGCUGAACAACAGGACCCCCGUCCCCCUGAAGAUCGUCUUCUUCAGUCCACCCCCUCCCCGUCAUCGUCUUCUUCAGAGGACACAAACAAAACCAGCCAAAGCCGCUCCUUCUCCUUCAUCUCACAAACAACAACCCCCUUUCUCUUCACCCCACCCCAAAUGACACUUCAACUUCUCCUCUAAUCAAACCAGUGACGAAUUCACUGGAAAACGCCACGACGCACACACCAGGUGUAUAAAAGCGAGGGGUGACUGCUCGUUCUUCACUGCCCAAACACCAAGAACAGAACGCAGCGACACAAGGUCUCUAACGAGCUCGAGUUGAUUCUGUCUGUCACCUAUCGAGGUUGGUUCGCGGUUCUGCUCAUUGUUGAGUUUCAAACUAGUAAAAUACUUACCUCCUCUGUGAUGCUUUAGUUAUGAAGAUUGGGGUGUGUUACAGAUGUAGAGUCAGUCUCCUUGGUGCUGCGAUUACUACUGUCUGAAUAUCAUGUAGCCCAUUAUGUGAUUGAGGCAUCAAAAGAAGGGAAGAUACAUUCCACUUUUCCAGGAAUAACACACAUGAAAUUGUGUUGCUGUGACUACUUCAACAUCGUAUGUUGGGGCUAGUAUUCCUACUGUGUGGACAUGCUUUAAUACACAGUGGUAUUAGCAUUGAAUUAUGCUCAAUCUGUGGUUGAAGACACCCAUAUGGAAGAGAUACAGCCCAAUUUCCUCAGGAACAAUGCACAAGGAAUUGUAUUGCUUGGUCACAGUGGCUUCAGUCCAUCAACACAACGAAGCAGAUUGAUUUAUCAUAUUGGUGUUUUGCUGCUCGACUGAGUUUGGCUAUGAUGCUACACGAAAGAGAAAU
This is a non-coding RNA of Nicotiana tabacum (common tobacco), 876 nucleotides long. Lineage: Eukaryota; Viridiplantae; Streptophyta; Magnoliopsida; Solanales; Solanaceae. The record is from RefSeq and is a predicted model, not a curated record.